This is a long non-coding RNA of Apteryx haastii (Great spotted kiwi), 2097 nucleotides long. The record is from Ensembl. Lineage: Eukaryota; Metazoa; Chordata; Aves; Apterygiformes; Apterygidae.
CCGCGGCAGCUGGCCACUGCCGGGAAGCAGCACCGUGGUCACCGGAGCCUGCACACGGACCCUUUGCACCGAAGCUGCCCGCAGCAGCUGGCUGCAGCCAGCGUGGAGAGCGCAUCCGAGAGGCUGCAAAGGUUGCAACACCUGCAGCUCGGGCCGGCCGCCCCCCCGCCGGCCCUCGCCCCCGCGGCCGUCSCCAGCCCCCGCGGGCUUGUCCCCUCCCGGAGGGGCCCCUGCCCUGGGCUCUCCGCUCUGCUCAUCCGCCGGGGGCAGGAGCCCAGGCUCCGGCUGGCCUCGGGCAUCCCAUACAGUGCAGGACGGUUCUUCCCCUGCCAGACAGGCCACUGCUCGCGUGUCGCGUCCUGCUGGGAGCCUCGCUGGCGUCGCCUUGCCAGGCUGCAGCGCCGGGGCCGCGGGAGGCUCUGGGGCACCCGGAGCCGAGCCGCAGGCAGGAUUUGUCGGAGGAGAUUUGCAUCGAGAAGGGCCUUCUCGGAAGCCGGCUUUCGGCUCGUGUUUUGCUCUCUGCAGCCCUUUGUCCAGGAAAGGAGGCGCCAGGAAGUGGGACCUGUUAUCUCUGGUUUCCCACAGCGAUGUGCUCGGCUCUCGAGCGCGGGCCUGCCGGGGCUGAGGGCAGCCGGGGCUGUUUGCUCUCUUCACCUGCAGUUUGUUUCGUUCGGGGAACCGGAGCGGCUGCCGGGGCCGCACGCCACGCUUGCCGCGUGGUGCAGCUGCUGCAGCUGCAGCCCGGGCUGGGGCUCACUUUCACUUGCGCAGGGCCCCAGUGGGACCUGCUGGGGUUCGUCUGAGCCAGCCGGCUGCGACCGGGGCCUCCCUUUCCCGGCACAGACCGAGGGGGAGCCCCCCGCGCCGAGCGGCUGCUGGGCUGGUCCCCGCGGGCGCAGGGGAUGCUCCCAGCCGCCUCCUGCCCGGGCGCAUCCCUGCUCGCCCGGCCGCCGCCUGGCACCCGCCGCUGCGCCCGGCCCCGGCUCCACGUGCGCCCCCAGCCCGGCAAGGCACAGGGAGGGUGCUCUGCAGCGCCGUGCUGGCACCGCUUGUCGCGGGAUCCCGGAGCCCUGGCAGCCAGCGCUGGGGGCAUCAGGAGCCGCAGCCUGGCCGGCGCAGGCGCCCAAGCUGCGCUCGGCGGUUCUGGGAAAACGCAGGAGAAAUGCACCGGCUUCUGCAGAAGGGGAUGGGUCUGCGCGGGGCUGGCGCACCUGCGGUCUCGCUACUACGGCUUCUCCGGCAGCUGCUUCCCGCUGCGGGGCGCCGAGCCCUGCGCCCCCGCAGAGGCUGCAGCGGGGCGGCCCCUGGACGAGCCCCCUUCCCCUUCCCCUGUGCUGUGGACGGGGCGGAUUCCCAGGYCAGGGCAGAUUCCCGGGCCGGGGCGUGGUGCCUGGGAGUGGGACAGGCAAAGGGUGUCCGGAGCCGUGCCCAGCGUGGGGCCGCGGGAGCCCUCGCCCCUGCGGCAGCCCUGGGGCCGCUUGCUGCACAGCUGCCGGGCGAGCGGCGAGGGCUGUGCUUGGCGGCCGCGUUGGGGGAAGAGCUGCCAGCCCAGAGGUGACGUUUCAGUUCCUGCUCCGAAUGUUUCCCCCCCUUAACAAGAAACCCCUCUGCUCUCGCUCCGAAACCGCGUUUCUGCAGCGGGUGCAAACAGAGAAACCCCAGCCCUGCCCCUGCCGGCGGGACACAUCCCGUGGGGACGGUCCCCGUGCCGGCCCCGUGGGACCCGCUCGCGGCUGGGGCACCUGCGGGCUCUGCUGCACGGGGAGCACCUGCCCCACGCCGGGACGCCGGCUCACCGUGGCCCCGUCCCCGCCGCGGGCAGGGGUGUCCCCGCCGUGCGCCCCCACCUGCCCCCGCGGUGGCCGCCGGCAGCCGGCAGCGCAGGGGACCUCCGGAGGCUUCCUGCGUGCCGGCGCCUGGGCCUGGGAACAGGAACCUCCCGCGCGCGGGCGGUUGUGCAAGGCGGAGGGACGCACUCCCACCGCUCCCUCGCACACACCCGGGCAGGGCACAAGCAGCCCGACUUCCCUCUGGCYGUUUCGAAAUUCCACCGCUCUUACAGAAAAGCCCCUGGGCAGAAUUCCUGCAAUGCAGUGA